Molecule: non-coding RNA, 111 nt
Organism: Acanthosepion pharaonis
Lineage: Eukaryota; Metazoa; Mollusca; Cephalopoda; Sepiida; Sepiidae
Source: the annotation of a GenBank genome assembly
UACGGGCACAUCACUUUGAAACACCGGUUUUCGUAAGAUCACCGAAGUUAAGCAAUGUCGAACCUGGUCAGUACCUAGAGAGGUAACUGCUUGGGAAUACUAGGUGCUGUU